This 425-nucleotide ribosomal RNA is filed under the name uncultured Mucilaginibacter sp. RNAcentral describes it as "bacterial SSU rRNA". It matches the Rfam family "Bacterial small subunit ribosomal RNA", at positions 354 to 776 of the family's 1533-position model. The record is from RNAcentral. Lineage: Bacteria; Pseudomonadati; Bacteroidota; Sphingobacteriia; Sphingobacteriales; Sphingobacteriaceae.
GUAAGGAAUAUUGGUCAAUGGGCGCAAGCCUGAACCAGCCAUGCCGCGUGCAGGAAGACGGCCCUAUGGGUUGUAAACUGCUUUUAUACCGGAAUAAACCCCUGAUCGUGAUCAGGGCUGAAUGUACGGUAGGAAUAAGGAUCGGCUAACUCCGUGCCAGCAGCCGCGGUAAUACGGAGGAUCCGAGCGUUAUCCGGAUUUAUUGGGUUUAAAGGGUGCGUAGGCGGCCUGUUAAGUCAGGGGUGAAAUUUUCCGGCUCAACCGGGAACUUGCCUUUGAUACUGACGGGCUUGAAUGCAGUUGAGGUAGGCGGAAUGUGACAAGUAGCGGUGAAAUGCAUAGAUAUGUCACAGAACACCGAUUGCGAAGGCAGCUUACCAAAGUGUGAUUGACGCUGAGGCACGAAAGCGUGGGGAUCAAACAGG